CAUGCACGUCUAAGUACAAACUAAAUGAUGGUGAAACUGCAAAUGGCUCAUUACAACGGUUAUGAUGUACCCGGGAGUUCCGAUGGAUAUUUCCAGUAACACUAGAACUAAUACAUGUCCCUGCGUUUAUUAGUUUCGCACAGUCCGUCGCUGAGUCAUGGUAAACAGUUGAUCGACUCGACGUCCCGGAACAGUUUCCGCCCCAUCAGCUUCGAUGGUUGGGUAUUGGCCUACCAUUGCAACAACGGGUAACGAGGAAUUAGGGUUUGAUUUCGGAGAGGGAGCCUGAGAAACGGCUACCACAUCUACGGAUGGCAGCAGGCGCGCAAAUUACCCAAUGCAGACACUGUGAGGUAGUGACGAGAAAUAAUAAAGCGGGACUUCUGUUUCGUUAUUAUAAUGAGGAAUAACCAAAGGUCAUUCCGAUUAGCAACUGAUGGGAAAGUCUGGUGCCAGCAGCCGCGGUAAUACCAGCGUCAGUAGCAUAUAUUAAAAUUGUUGCAGUUAAAACGUCCGUAGUCUGUACGUCGUCCCAAACUCACUGCAGUCUUCCGUUUUCUUCAUUGAAUGCGGUAGUUUCUGCAGUCACUCCCUUGAUCAAAUUAGGUUGUUCAAGGUAGACCAAGUCUUCAUAUUUUCACAUGGAAUUGGGUGAGGGAACUUAAGAGUUUAAGUUUCUCGUCUUAGGAUCAUCCGGGGUCAUUCGUACUCGUCCGCGAGAGGUGAAAUUCUUGGACCGGACGAAGACGACCAGCAGCGAAAGCAUCUGUCAGGGAUGUUUUCUGCGACAAAGGACGAAGGUCAGGGUAUC
Molecule: ribosomal RNA, 811 nt
Filed under: uncultured alveolate
Lineage: Eukaryota
Description: bacterial SSU rRNA
Rfam family: Eukaryotic small subunit ribosomal RNA
Source: RNAcentral